Megachile rotundata (alfalfa leafcutting bee) is the source of this 1446-nucleotide long non-coding RNA. RefSeq lists it as uncharacterized. The record is from RefSeq and is a predicted model, not a curated record. NCBI's taxonomy places the organism in Eukaryota, Metazoa, Arthropoda, Insecta, Hymenoptera, Megachilidae.
GUAAGGUCGCUUGUUCUGCGUAUUUAUACCGUAUUCGCUCCGCACUCGGCUUCAGUGUCGUCUCGUCCUUUCGAGGGUCGUUUAAUCACCGGACUACCGCUUAACGCGCGUAAUUAAUGUAUCCGCGUGUCCCGCGAGCGUCUGCGAAUUCCCCGAAACAUUAAUUUGCACUCAGUUUUCCGCGAAGGCUUUCAGAAAUCCCGUCAAUCGAAAAGAUUCUAAAGACGAGGGUUCUUCGAUCGAGGGUUCCUUUCGAUCGGUUUCUUUUAAAAGCCACCGACGAGUUUUUGCGCGGAGGUAAAAGUAUCUCGUUACGAAAGGGAAAAACAGAAACGACCGGUGAUUUCUUGCGUACAUUCGCGUUACUGCCCUCAUCCUUUCAGCCCCGUUUCCUUUACCUUUCUCUCCGUCUCUCUCCGAGUCUUCUUUUUCCAUCCUUUUCGAGCGGCUGUCUCGCCGCACCUCGCCGCGUUCGAGCAAUAAAAACAAAGACGAGCUUCCUCGAGAAAGCUCGGAGGGAAAUACCUGAUGCUAGUCGGUCAAUAGCUUGCUUCGUACAAUCGCGGAAAAAAUAGAGGAAAAGGAAUUUCGGCGGACGAAUGAGAAGCCUGCUUUCGAGAUUAAACGAGGCUUCCACCGGGAAAGAGUCGAAUUAGCUACGUUUUGCAGAUUCGGAUAUUAUAGAGAUUGAAUCGGAAGUUCGUGUUUAAUGAAACGAUGAGGAAGAGUUUCUAAUAUUGUAUCGACUUCGUUCGACUAGAAAAUUCAUCUUUUAUAACUAUUCUAUUAUUAACCCUUUGCAAUACUGCAGUACGGCUCGACAUUUAUGUAGUUUCAUACAAUUCAGACAAGCCUAAUGGCAGACAUUUUAACUGCCCAUUGCCAUCGAACUCCCGAACUGGUUCAGGAGGGUGUACACCCUCGAUAACCGUCGAAAAUAUUUGCAGCCAUUUUUCGCCCCACCAAGGAGAGCCCUCUUGAGAAGGUUGGGAGAGCAGGGAUUAAAACAAUGGAAAAAGUACCGCCAUCUUUAAUUCCGUCGACAUUCGCCCCCGAGCUAAGACGAAAGAGAAAGAAUACGUGAUCGAUAAAUACUUCUCUGUUUGUUCAAAGGCGGAUUUCUUUGGUUCCACGCUGUGCUUCAGAUCGGGCGUUUCGAGGUGGGUCGAGCUUUUCCAAGGGGAUGAAAUAAAGCGAUUAGGAGGCAAUUAUCGAUAAAAGUGGAAGUCUUUUCCUGGGAAAAUCGAAGUCAUCUUCGGAGCACUUACCAUUCGACGAGAAGACAGCACUGCGAGAGGAACCUGCAUUACCAGCAUUAUCCACAGAGCUGCAUUCGAUGCAACGUUCAAACUGUAGCAUUCUGUAUAUAUUUUAUAAGAAAUUAUACUAUGUAAUUUAGUAUUAAGUUCAUGUAAAACAAGGAAUAUGAAUAAAGAAAAGGUAAAU